Lycium ferocissimum is the source of this 586-nucleotide long non-coding RNA. RefSeq lists it as uncharacterized. NCBI's taxonomy places the organism in Eukaryota, Viridiplantae, Streptophyta, Magnoliopsida, Solanales, Solanaceae. The record is from RefSeq and is a predicted model, not a curated record. The transcript has 2 exons.
UUCUGCUUCAUCACGUUCGUUCUUCCAUUGUUGUUACUAUUAUGUCGAGCUUAUCCGACUCUUUCAUGGAGUUUUUUUGAUGAACAUGCCUGAUAUUGUAGAUGUGGUAAUGAAGCAUUAUUGAAGACUUCUUGGACCCAAUUAAACCCAGGUCGCAGAUUUUUAUGUUGUAAAAUACCAAAAAAAAUGGGUGGUUGUGAUUAUUUCUUUUGGAUUGAAGAUAGGCACCCUGCGCAAGCAAAUAGGGUGAUGUGGGGUUUGUUGAAGAAAGUGAAGGCUUUUGAGGAGAAAAGAAUUCGAGCAAGAAACAUGAUCAUUGUUCUUUUGCCAUUGUUUGCUGGUUUUGUGAUGCUCGGGAUAUGAAAAAUCAAGCCAAAUUGUUAGAUGGAGCAGUACAAUAUGUGCUCCUUAAGUACUUGCCUUUUGCUAAGUUGUGUAGUUGUAAUAUUGUUAGGAUUCUUGGAAUGUAAUUUGGUUACUGCAUUGUUGUGACAAUUUUGUAUUUUGGCAUGGCUGAACUUUGGCCAACAGUCACUCAUGUAAACCAGCAUUUUGAAUGAAAUGAAAUGAAAUGUUGUUUUGUCUA